GCGGAAAUCUUGCAAGUGGAUCGUAAAGAUGCUCAUAUCAAUUUGGAGUUCUGCCUCCAAGCCAGAAUUGCAGGAAUGCACCACGUGUUGGCUGUUUCACUGCCCUCUGUGCCCCACUUUCAGCCCUAUUGUCAGGAGCAUAUAAAUGGACACAUUAAAAAUGCUUUGCCUUUCAAAGACAAAAUGAUAUGCCGGUGCACUUUCACUGCCCUGUCUGUAACAUGACAGUCAUACAGCGUGGGGAUAUGGCAAGGCAAUUUUUCUCAUGUCAGCGUUUAGGACUGCUCCCCGCUGAACUCUCCGUGGAGCCACAUCUCCCUCUCGAUGUCUUGUCUCCAGUAUCUAAACCAUUUUCUGAAUCUUCAGUAGAACAUUCAUGUGCUCUACCCUCUGUGCUAAAUGAAACUGUGGCUUGUGGAAAGUCCUUGAAAAUGAAACGCCC
Molecule: long non-coding RNA, 442 nt
Organism: Oreochromis aureus
Lineage: Eukaryota; Metazoa; Chordata; Actinopteri; Cichliformes; Cichlidae
Source: Ensembl